CCAGCCGCCGCGGUAAUACGGAGGAUGCAAGCGUUAUCCGGAAUUAUUGGGCGUAAAGCGUCCGCAGGUGGCAAUUCAAGUCUGCUGUUAAAGGUCAGGGCUCAACCCUGAACAGGCAGUGGAAACUGAAUAGCUAGAGUGCGGUAGGGGCAGAGGGAAUUCCCAGUGUAGCGGUGAAAUGCGUAGAGAUUGGGAAGAACACCGGUGGCGAAAGCGCUCUGCUAGGCCGUAACUGACACUCAUGGACGAAAGCUAGGGGAGCGAAUGGGAUUAGAUACCCCAGUAGUCCUAGCCGUAAACGAUGGAUACUAGGCGUUGCUCGCAUCGACCCGAGCAGUGCCGUAGCUAACGCGUUAAGUAUCCCGCCUGGGGAGUACGCGCGCAAGCGUGAAACUCAAAGGAAUUGACGGGGGCCCGCACAAGCGGUGGAGUAUGUGGUUUAAUUCGAUGCAACGCGAAGAACCUUACCAGGACUUGACAUGUCGCGAAUCUUUGGGAAACUAAAGAGUGCCUUCGGGAGCGCGAACACAGGUGGUACAUGGCUGUCGUCAGCUCGUGUCGUGAGAUGUUGGGUUAAGUCCCGCAACGAGCGCAACCCUCGUUCUUAGUUGCCAGCAUUAAGUUGGGCACUCUAGGGAGACUGCCGGUGAUAAACCGGAGGAAGGUGGGGAUGACGUCAAGUCAGCAUGCCCCUUACGUCCUGGGCUACACACGUACUACAAUGCUACGGACAAAGGGUCGCAAGCAUGCGAAUGCAAGCAAAUCCCAUAAACCGUGGCUCAGUUCAGAUUGCAGGCUGCAACUCGCCUGCAUGAAGGCGGAAUCGCUAGUAAUCCCAGAUCAGCACGCUGGGGUGAAUACGUUCCCGGGCCUUGUACACACCGCCCGUCACACCAUGGAAGUUGGCCACGCCCGAAGUCGUUACCCUAACCGCAAGGAGGGGGAUGCCGAAGGCAGGGCUGAUGACUGGGGUGAAGUCGUAACAAGGUAACCAA
Molecule: ribosomal RNA, 995 nt
Filed under: uncultured cyanobacterium
Lineage: Bacteria; Bacillati; Cyanobacteriota
Description: bacterial SSU rRNA
Rfam family: Bacterial small subunit ribosomal RNA
Source: RNAcentral